This 495-nucleotide ribosomal RNA is filed under the name uncultured bacterium. RNAcentral's name for it is "partial 16S ribosomal RNA". It matches the Rfam family "Bacterial small subunit ribosomal RNA", at positions 28 to 507 of the family's 1533-position model. The record is from RNAcentral.
GACGAACGCUGGCGGCGUGCCUAAUACAUGCAAGUAGAACGCUGAAGGAGGAGCUUGCUUCUCUGGAUGAGUUGCGAACGGGUGAGUAACGCGUAGGUAACCUGCCUGGUAGCGGGGGAUAACUAUUGGAAACGAUAGCUAAUACCGCAUAAGAGUAGAUGUCGCAUGACAUUUGCUUAAAAGGUGCAAUUGCAUCACUACCAGAUGGACCUGCGUUGCAUUAGCUAGUUGGUGAGGUAACGGCUCACCAAGGCAACGAUACAUAGCCGACCUGAGAGGGUGAUCGGCCACACUGGGACUGAGACACGGCCCAGACGCCUACGGGAGGCAGCAGUAGGGAAUCUUCGGCAAUGGACGGAAGUCUGACCGAGCAACGCCGCGUGAGUGAAGAAGGUUUUCGGAUCGUAAAGCUCUGUUGUAAGAGAAGAACGAGUGUGAGAGUGGAAAGUUCACACUGUGACGGUAUCUUACCAGAAAGGGACGGCUAACUACGUG